This 424-nucleotide ribosomal RNA is filed under the name uncultured bacterium. Its description in RNAcentral is "partial 16S ribosomal RNA". It matches the Rfam family "Bacterial small subunit ribosomal RNA", at positions 360 to 776 of the family's 1533-position model. The record is from RNAcentral.
AAUAUUGGACAAUGGGGGGAACCCUGAUCCAGCCAUGCCGCGUGUGUGAAGAAGGUCNNNGGAUUNUCAAGCACUUUAAGUUGNGAGNAAGAGUUGUAGGCUAAUACCUUGCAAUUUUGACGUUACCAACAGAAUAAGCACCGGCUAACUUCGUGCCAGCAGCCGCGGUAAUACGAAGGGUGCAAGCGUUAAUCGGAAUUACUGGGCGUAAAGCGCGCGUAGGUGGUUCGUUAAGUUGGAAGUGAAAGCCCCGGGCUUAACCUGGGAAUUGCUUUCAAAACUGACGAGCUAGAGUACGGUAGAGGGUAGUGGAAUUUCCUGUGUAGCGGUGAAAUGCGUAGAUAUAGGAAGGAACACCAGUGGCGAAGGCGGCUUACUGGACUGUAACUGACACUGAGGCUCGAAAGCGUGGGGAGCAAACAGG